Molecule: ribosomal RNA, 71 nt
Filed under: Oidiodendron sp.
Lineage: Eukaryota; Fungi; Ascomycota; Leotiomycetes; Myxotrichaceae
Description: partial small subunit ribosomal RNA
Source: RNAcentral
GCGCGCUACACUGACAGAGCCAACGAGUUCAUCACCUUGUCCGAAAGGUCUGGGUAAUCUUGUGAAACUCU